UGAUCCUGGCUCAAAUUGAACGCUGGCGGCAGGCCUAACACAUGCAAGUCGAGCGGUAGAGAAGCUUGCUUCUCAGAGCGGCGGACGGGUGAGUAAUGCCUAGGAAUCUGCCUGGUAGUGGGGGAUAACGUCCGGAAACGGACGCUAAUACCGCAUACGUCCUACGGGAGAAAGCAGUUCGUUGCGCUAUCAGAUGAGCCUAGGUCGGAUUAGCUAGUUGGUGGGGUAAUGGCUCACCAAGGCGACGAUCCGUAACUGGUCUGAGAGGAUGAUCAGUCACACUGGAACUGAGACACGGUCCAGACUCCUACGGGAGGCAGCAGUGGGGAAUAUUGGACAAUGGGCGAAAGCCUGAUCCAGCCAUGCCGCGUGUGUGAAGAAGGUCUUCGGAUUGUAAAGCACUUUAAGUUGGGAGGAAGGGCAGUAAUAAUUUGCUGUUUUGACGUUACCGACAGAAUAAGCACCGGCUAACUCUGUGCCAGCAGCCGCGGUAAUACAGAGGGUGCAAGCGUUAAUCGGAAUUACUGGGCGUAAAGCGCGCGUAG
RNAcentral lists this ribosomal RNA (545 nucleotides) under uncultured Pseudomonas sp. RNAcentral's name for it is "bacterial SSU rRNA". It matches the Rfam family "Bacterial small subunit ribosomal RNA", at positions 14 to 574 of the family's 1533-position model. Lineage: Bacteria; Pseudomonadati; Pseudomonadota; Gammaproteobacteria; Pseudomonadales; Pseudomonadaceae. The record is from RNAcentral.